Molecule: ribosomal RNA, 2072 nt
Filed under: marine metagenome
Description: bacterial LSU rRNA
Rfam family: Bacterial large subunit ribosomal RNA
Source: RNAcentral
AUAAGCUAAAUAAGGGCGUAUGGGGAAUGCCUAGGGUCUCAGAGGCGAUGAAGGACGUGAUAAGCUGCGAAAAGCUGCGGGGAUUGGCACACACAAUUUGAUCCGCAGAUAUCCGAAUGGGGAAACCCACUAUAUUGAAGAUAUAGUAUCCGAAAGGAAGCGAACCCGGAGAACUGAAACAUCUAAGUACCCGGAGGAGAAGAAAACAAAAGUGAUUCCGAUAGUAGCGGCGAGCGAAAUCGGAUUAGUCCAAACCAAAGUUGUUACGGCAAUUUUGGGGUUGUAGGACCACGUUAUUGAAUGUUUUAUGAAUUAGAAUUCUUUGGAAAAAGAAACCAUAGAGGGUGAUAGUCCCGUAUAAGUAAAGACAAUUAUUCAUAGUGGUAUCCUGAGUAGUGCGGGACACGAGUAAUCCUGUAUGAAUCAAGCGGGACCAUCCGCUAAGACUAAAUACUCCUGAGACACCGAUAGUGAACUAGUACCGUGAGGGAAAGGUGAAAAGAACCUUGAAUAAAGGAGUGAAAUAGAUCCUGAAACCAUACGCUUACAAGCGGUCGGAGCCAUUCGUGGUGACGGCGUGCCUUUUGCAUAAUGAGCCUACGAGUUACCGUUUCUAGCAAGGUUAAGUACUUCAGGUACGGAUCCGUAGCGAAAGCGAGUCUGAAUAGGGCGAUUUAGUUAGUGGCGGUAGACGCGAAACCGUGUGAUCUACCCAUGGGCAGGGUGAAGCUGUAGUAACAUACAGUGGAGGCCCGAACCGAUAUACGUUGAAAAGUGUUCGGAUGACCUGUGGGUAGGGGUGAAAGGCCAAUCAAACUCGGAAAUAGCUCGUACUCCCCGAAAUGCAUUUAGGUGCAGCGUUGAUUUAUAGUUUUAUAGAGGUAGAGCUACUGAUUGGAUGCGGGGGCUUCACCGCCUACCAAUUCCUGACAAACUCCGAAUGCUAUAAAAUGUUAAUCAGCAGUGAGGGCAUGGGUGCUAAGGUCCAUGUCCGAGAGGGAAAGAACCCAGACCAUCAGCUAAGGUCCCAAAAUAUAUGUUAAGUUGAAUAAACGAGGUUGAACUGCACAGACAGCUAGGAUGUUGGCUUGGAAGCAGCCAUUCAUUUAAAGAGUGCGUAACAGCUCACUAGUCGAGCGGUUCGGCAUGGAUAAUAAUCGGGCAUAAACAUAUUACCGAAGCUAUGGACUUGUAAAAGUGGUAGGGGAGCAUUGUAGUGUCGUCGAAGGUAAAACGUGAGUUUUGCUGGAGAAGCUACAAAAGAAAAUGUAGGCAUAAGUAACGAUAAUGCGGGCGAGAAACCCGCACACCGAAAGACUAAGGUUUCCUCAGCUAUGCUAAUCAGCUGAGGGUUAGUCGGGACCUAACGCGAACCCGAAAGGGGUAGUGGAUGGACAACAGAUUAAUAUUUCUGUACCUGCUCACAAUAAAAGUGACGGAGGCGUAAAUUUGGUGCGUACUGACGGAAUAGUACGUUGAAGCCAGUGGUAACACGGCGAUAGUACACUGAAACUUCGGUAGAGGUGAUAAUCCAGAAAAGCGACUUCCAAGAAAAACAAGUGAAGCAGCCCGUACCCCAAACCGACACAGGUAGUUGGGAUGAGAAUUCUAAGGUGCUCGAGAGAUUCAUGGUUAAGGAACUAGGCAAAAUCGACCCGUAACUUCGGGAGAAGGGUCGCCCAUCUUCGGAUGGGCCGCAGUGAAAAGGUCCAGGCGACUGUUUAUCAAAAACACAGGGCUAUGCUAAAUCGAAAGAUGAUGUAUAUGGCCUGACACCUGCCCGGUGCUGGAAGGUUAAGUGGAGGGUUUAGCUUCGGCGAAGAUCUGAAAUGAAGCCCCAGUAAACGGCGGCCGUAACUAUAACGGUCCUAAGGUAGCGAAAUUCCUUGUCGGGUAAGUUCCGACCUGCACGAAUGGUGCAACGAUCUGGACACUGUCUCAACCAUGAGCUCGGUGAAAUUGUAGUAUCGGUGAAGAUGCCGAUUACCCGCAGUGGGACGAAAAGACCCCGUGAACCUUUACUAUAGCUUAGUAUUGGCUUUGGAUAAGUAAUGUGUAGGAUAGUUGGGAGA